RNAcentral lists this ribosomal RNA (558 nucleotides) under Mycobacterium sp. RNAcentral describes it as "bacterial SSU rRNA". It matches the Rfam family "Bacterial small subunit ribosomal RNA", at positions 464 to 1018 of the family's 1533-position model. Lineage: Bacteria; Bacillati; Actinomycetota; Actinomycetes; Mycobacteriales; Mycobacteriaceae. The record is from RNAcentral.
CGAAAGUGACGGUACCUGCAGAAAAAGCACCGGCUAACUACGUGCCAGCAGCCGCGGUAAUACGUAGGGUGCAAGCGUUAUCCGGAAUUAUUGGGCGUAAAGAGCUCGUAGGCGGUUUGUCGCGUCUGCUGUGAAAACCCGAGGCUCAACCUCGGGCCUGCAGUGGGUACGGGCAGACUAGAGUGCGGUAGGGGAGAUUGGAAUUCCUGGUGUAGCGGUGGAAUGCGCAGAUAUCAGGAGGAACACCGAUGGCGAAGGCAGAUCUCUGGGCCGUAACUGACGCUGAGGAGCGAAAGGGUGGGGAGCAAACAGGCUUAGAUACCCUGGUAGUCCACCCCGUAAACGUUGGGAACUAGUUGUGGGGACCAUUCCACGGUUUCCGUGACGCAGCUAACGCAUUAAGUUCCCCGCCUGGGGAGUACGGCCGCAAGGCUAAAACUCAAAGGAAUUGACGGGGACCCGCACAAGCGGCGGAGCAUGCGGAUUAAUUCGAUGCAACGCGAAGAACCUUACCAAGGCUUGACAUAUACGAGAACGGGCCAGAAAUGGUCAACUCUU